Ahaetulla prasina is the source of this 3284-nucleotide long non-coding RNA. RefSeq lists it as uncharacterized. NCBI's taxonomy places the organism in Eukaryota, Metazoa, Chordata, Lepidosauria, Squamata, Colubridae. The transcript is spliced from 2 exons. The record is from RefSeq and is a predicted model, not a curated record.
UUCUGUAAGGAAAAGAUUGGAAUGAUGAGAAAUUGACCAACAAAAGGUGGUUGCCCAUUUAUAUACCUAGGUGACAUUAAACCUUUUUUUUUAUUUUAACGAAACAGAAUAUUGCUUGAAAGUUCUUGGAAACAAAUCCGGUUUUGUUUUUCCACCAUUUAUCUUAAACUCGGUUAAAAGGAAACCUCUGGACUAGAUUGUUUUUGAGGGAAUUUCUUUGCAUUUUCGGAAUUUGGUGAUUGUUCCACUGAACUUUUUUGUUUUGUUUGUUGUUGGUUUUUUUUUUUUUUUUUUUUUGCAUCUGGAGACAUUACUGCUCAUAUAUUUCAUACAUUUUUAAUGAAGGCAGUGCUGGGAAUUGCAUCAGCGCCCCCUGGUGAGUUGUUGUUGCAGCCCAACAGCUUUGCCAGUUGACCAAAAGAUAGAAGCCAACGCUUUCCUGGCAACCUCUGUGCUAGAAUUAAUGUCUUGGCAGCUUGUCUUUGCAUUAAAGUUAGCCUUGCGAUGGGUCAAAUGUGCAUUUCCCAAUUCCAUGGUAGUUGACAAGUGUUCCUUAGGUCUAAGUGUAAAAAAAGAGUAGCCAACUAAUAGACCGUAUUUCACCUGCUGUUCCUUUUCCAUUUAACAAUCGCUGAAAUUCAGCCACAUUAUCUCUGCCGUUUUUCAAACAAGUACUGUAACAUUGGUGCAUUAAGUCUCUGGUAGCUUCCUCUGUAUAUUGUUUUUUUUUUUAAGCAGGGCUGAAAAUUCUGGCCCUAUUCUUCCAGUGAUGGCACUGCUGUUCGCAUAGCAGCUAGAUCAGUGCCUGCUUGACCCCAGAAGCAUUGCCUAUUUCUGAUAUUCUGAAUUUCUGAUCUAAAGGCGUAUGUGACCAGGUGUUCCCCACGUCAUACAACCCACCGCAUAUUAAUGUUAGUGAUGUGUUAAUCUCAAGAUAACCUGCUUGAUGUGCACACGUGUGUCAAACAAAAAAAAAAGGAAAAAAUUGUUUAAAAGCACACAUCCCAGACUGUCUCACGCAUACAGAGACAAAAACACCGAGACCGUUUUUUUGUGUUUUUUUUUGCUUGGAUUACAUUGUUAGAACGAUGUGAGCUCAGUUGUUGUUCACUUCCUUUAGAUGUGCAAGAACGGAGCUUCCUGUCCCUGGGUGGGAUUUUUUUAUCAUAGGAAAAUACCUCAAUGAGACAGCUUGACUUUGUAAAUCGGAAUAAAUAGCCUGGCAGUUAGCAGUGAUAAUCAAAAAAAAGAGGAAGAUUGAAGGGGUCCAUAUCAUUUUUUUUUCUCCUCCCGCCUUCUAUCUCUUUCGCAUAUGUUAACGUGAUGGUCUUAAUAAGCAAACCUAGUUCACUUCCUGCAGACCCUUAAUCUUAAUCGGAACGAAAGGCAGUUUGUUGCUGGUUAGAGCAACCAGAGAGGGGAGAAUUCUUUGCUCACUUUUAAAAUGGAAAGGAUUCUCACCCAGCGCUGUGCUGGUAUCGGAGCCUUUCGCCUUCUUUGUUCUUUGCAAAACUACCUUUGUGCUAUAUGUGUUUCUGCCUGGAAUUAAUUUGAUUAAGUCUAUCUCACUUUUUUUUUCUUUUCCUUGAAGUGUCCUUGAUGAGAUUCAUGGUAAAAUAAAAAUAAAUCAACUGGGGAGCUGGGGAAGAAUCUCCUUAGAGAAUUAUGUGUAUUCCAUUCUAAACGUUUUUUGUUCUUUCUGCUGGUUUCAUUCAAGGGCACAAGCAUCCAUGGGCAGCAUUUGGCUAAGCUGGAACAGAGAAUUGCCAUUCCCUUUCCUUUUCCUCUUUUGUCUACCAGAAGAUACAUUAUCUUUAUUCCUUUCAGAUCCUCACGUCCUAGGACAUUGAUGACGAACCUUUUUGGAACCUUUUUGGAGUGUCAAAAAGGGAGCACUUUGUGCACUCGUCAGGGCCGCGAGCAGGAAGACAAGCUGCCCAGGGGGCAUGCGCAUGCUGGAUAAGGCAGGGUUGGAGACCCCUGGGAUAAGGUACUUCCGGUUUCCAGCACACGCAUGCACACCAGGAAGCAAGUCUUCCAGUUACUGCCGCACACGAGCCGAUCAGCUGGCUGGCGCACAUGCUCACCCCCGGAAAAUUGAAGACCAGCUCUUCUUGUUUCCUGCACUGUUGCACGCAUAAGGUCACCUGAUCAUCAUGUGCACAUGUGCGCUAGAAACCUGGAAGUGGAAUGGGCAAUGCCGCGUAUGCCAGGUGACUUGGCUCCGUGUGCUAUUUCGGGCAUGCGUACCAUAGGUUCGUCAUCACGGUCCUAGGACCACCAAAGUCCCAGCAGCUUUACUGGAUUCCAGUCUUACUAGAACAUGGCUAUUUUUCUUCCCCCCCCCCCUCAGGAUUCCCAAACUGUGGACAAAAAACCUUGUAUCUGAGGGCUUGGCGUUUAUUUUGCGUUUGUUUUGAUGUUGUACCCAGUAACAUCUGGGUUUGUACAAACAAAUCGUGCCAUUAUCCAGAGAGGUCCAGUUUCAUAUCAAGAGCAGUAAGUCAUAACAUUGCCUGAAACGUAUGAGAAAUUAAUCCACUAAACGGGUUGUAUCCAUACGUUAUUUUUUCUGACCUUCCAAGCUAGCGUCAUUCCAGCUGUUUAGAAUGGGUUGCGUUUAACAGCAAAUCCAUGUAGGCGUUUUGGGAAAUCUUUUUUCUCCUGAUUUAAAAAAAAAGCACAAUUUUUUAAAGAGGGGAAAUCCUGAUUUAUUACGCUCUUUUUCUUUUUUUUUUCCUUCUUUUCCUCUUGAACAUGUCCUAAUAGAGGGACCCAACACCUCAGGAAGCUAGACCUGCACCUGUGCUUUUUUCAUUUGUGUCACUGCAGCUGCCUUAUUGGAGUAAGUUGAGCGUUUUUGACUCCCCCUUUUUUUAAAAAAAAAGCUGUUGGACUUCGAUUCUGCUUUAUUUUUAUCGGCAAUUUUGAAUUCCGUGACCUAUUAUGGGAACCCUUAAUUUCCACAAUCCCAAAUUCCUUUUUUUUUUUUUUUGAAAUCAAAAUGCUGCCCUAAGGAAUUUUUGUGUGUGAUCCUCGCUACCGGUUUCGUCGUUUGAACCGGUUGUCUGAGAGGGGUGAUGUUUUGCAACUAGCAAUGCAAUUUUUUUCUAAAUCUGCUAAUCUUUCCAGUUUAGAAAAGUGUGUCCUUGAUAUAUUUCUUUUUAUUGUUGUUGUUGGUUUUGUUCUGUGUGUGAUCAAUCAAGGCUAUUGCAGAACAGUAAUUUUGUUAUUUGAUUCAAUGGAAUUUCUUUGCUUAAAAAAAAAUAAAGACGUUAACUAAG